Vicugna pacos (alpaca) is the source of this 196-nucleotide non-coding RNA. Lineage: Eukaryota; Metazoa; Chordata; Mammalia; Artiodactyla; Camelidae. The record is from RefSeq and is a predicted model, not a curated record.
UUACCCUUGCAUCCAAGGGAUGAAUCCCUCUUGGUCAUUGUGUGUGAUCCUUUUAAGGCAGUGUAAGAUUUUGUUUGUGAGUAUUUUGUUAAGGAUUUUGGCAUCUACAUUUAUCAGGGAAAUUGGUUUGUAGUUUUGUGUGUGUGUGUGUGUGUGUGUGUGUGUGUGUGUGUGUGUGUGGAUGUGUGUGUGUGUG